CUCUGCCUCACUGUCUCACACUUAGACACACACACACACACACACACACACACACACACACACACACACAUACACACACACACACAGAAAUGAUAGAAGAGUACAAACUCAUGUUUUGACGAUAAAACUGCAUACAGUACACCACACUGCAGAAUAUCUCAGUCAGGGGAUGG
Long non-coding RNA from Etheostoma cragini (Arkansas darter), 173 nucleotides. RefSeq lists it as uncharacterized. The record is from RefSeq and is a predicted model, not a curated record. NCBI's taxonomy places the organism in Eukaryota, Metazoa, Chordata, Actinopteri, Perciformes, Percidae. The transcript is spliced from 3 exons.